GAUUUAAUAAUUGAAGGGCUGCAGUAUAUUGACUGUACAAAGGUAGCAUAAUCAUUAGUCAUUUAAUUGAUGACUUGUAUGAAGGAUUGGAUGAGAUAUAAUCUGUCUCUUAAUUAAUAGGUAGAAUUUAAUUUUUUAAUUAAAAAGUUAAAAUAAUUUAAAAAGACGAGAAGACCCUAUAGAGUUUUAUAGGUAAAUUAAUUAAGAUUAUUUAAAUAAUUUAAAAUUAAAAUUAAAUUAUUUAUUUUAUUGGGGUGAUAGAAAAAUAUAUUUAACUUUUUUUUUAAUUUAACAUUUAUAAGUGGUUAGAUGAUCCAAUAUUAUUGAUUAUAAGAAAUAAUUACCUUAGGGAUAACAGCGUAAUUUUUUUUUUUAGUUCAUAUAAGAAAAAGAGUUUGCGACCUCGAUGUUGGAUUAAGAUAAAAUUUAAAUGCAGAAG
RNAcentral lists this ribosomal RNA (439 nucleotides) under Carelis biluma. RNAcentral's name for it is "partial 16S large subunit ribosomal RNA". The record is from RNAcentral. Lineage: Eukaryota; Metazoa; Arthropoda; Insecta; Lepidoptera; Noctuidae.